GACGAACGCUGGCGGCGUGCUUAACACAUGCAAGUCGAGCGGUAAGGCCCUUUCGGGGGUACACGAGCGGCGAACGGGUGAGUAACACGUGGGUGACCUGCCCUCAGCUCUGGGAUAAGCCUGGGAAACCGGGUCUAAUACUGGAUAUGACUCCAUGACGCAUGUUGUGGGGUGGAAAGCCUUGUGCGGCUGAGGAUGGGCCCGCGGCCUAUCAGCUUGUUGGUGGGGUGANGGCCUACCAAGGCGACGACGGGUAGCCGGCCUGAGAGGGCGACCGGCCACACUGGGACUGAGACACGGCCCAGACUCCUACGGGAGGCAGCAGUGGGGAAUCUUGCGCAAUGGGCGAAAGCCUGACGCAACGACGCCGCGUGAGGGAUGACGGCCUGGUGU
This 393-nucleotide ribosomal RNA is filed under the name uncultured bacterium. Its description in RNAcentral is "bacterial SSU rRNA". It matches the Rfam family "Bacterial small subunit ribosomal RNA", at positions 28 to 422 of the family's 1533-position model. The record is from RNAcentral.